UGUCCUUACUUAUAAUUACGCAAAGCAAGUAUUUCGUUCACAGUGUCUCACUUUUGUGUCUCUCUUCCUUCUACUAGGGUUUUAGGUCGAUCAGAGGAUUGAAUCGUUCUCUUUUAAUUAGUUGGCGGGAGAUUUCUGCUCUGGAGUCUCAUACUAUUUUGAGGGCAAACAAAUUGUGUUUGCAUGUUCUCAAGUAACCGUCAUAAAACAAUUCUCCGGCGUGACGGAGCCACCUUUAGGGGUGGCAUCUCCGCUAGAGCGGUCUCAUAUUCCAUUGCCUUGUGGAGUGGCGUCGCUGCUUUUACCAUUUGGGACUGGCCAUGAGACAAACAUUCCUUCUCUUUUGUUGUGCUUUAGUGUUCGUUUAUUUUUCUUUAUGUAUUUAUUUUCAUUGAUUAUAUUUCAAUUAUUGAAAUUGCUGAUGAUGAUUUAAUCCAAUUUUAUGAGGUGCUGUGGAUCCAAGACCCUGUUUUCAGGGAGAACCUACUUGGUGAAGCCUCAUUCAUAUGAUAUCCUAGGAUUUUACUGAAGCAUUUUACUUUGAGAAUAUUUCUAUAUUUGAAUGAUCUAUUUAAUUUUCUUGUUUCUUAUAAUUUAUUGUAAAACUUGACUAUUUUAACCAAUGAUUUUCCUAUCCAAAUUGCUAGAGGUUGUAGUUGAUCCAAUAUCCUGUUCGGGGAGAACCUACUCGGUGUUACCACAUUUCCUAUGACAACAAUUUUCUGUUAGUUGUGUAUAUUGAGUUUUAACUAUACCCUGGGUUUAUUUAGUUGAUUCUGGGUCUGAAAAGCUCAUAGAUUGAGUGUUGUCAUCAGCUUCAUCUCUUGUAACUUACGAGAUAGGAGUUAAAUAACAGCACUACAUUUUU
Molecule: long non-coding RNA, 868 nt
Organism: Vigna unguiculata (cowpea)
Lineage: Eukaryota; Viridiplantae; Streptophyta; Magnoliopsida; Fabales; Fabaceae
Source: RefSeq, a predicted model, not a curated record